CCUACGGGGUUUCCGCGUCCCUGACGCAGAGGCGGGCCGGGGGAGCCGCGCCGGAGCCGGAGGCGGAAACCGGAGAUGCUGUUCGUCGGGCGGCCGGGGCUUCCCGCGGGUGACAGGUCCCGGCUCGCGGCUCGCUGCCGGCACUCAGGUGCGGGAGGGGAACUCGGUUAUUCCGCUUGCUCCCACCGCUGUUUAAUUCCACAAUGAAGACCUGCCUGGCAUUUAGCCCGACCGUUAACAUCCAUUCAGAUCUUGGAAACGUAAAAUUCCUGCUAGGGAAAAUGUCGGCCACCCAGCGAGUCCCGGGAAGUCCGGUUUACCGGUACAUUUUGCAGCGCGAGAAGGAAAAAUGGAGUGUCAUUUGCAGAUGUCUCUGGAGUGGCCAAUUCUAUUCUCAUAUCAUUUCCGGUCUCUCGCUUUCUUUUUAAGAGUGUUACUGAUUUUAACCUAACAGGUGUGAGGAAUGCCUGAAAAAAAUCAUAAACUUUUGCAAAUGGAUAGAAACUAAGCAGUAAUUUUCCUUGGAACGCACGAAUUUAAAUGGACGCUUUGGCAGAUACAGCUCUGUGCCGCUUUGGGACUACAUCGGUUUUGAUUCCGUCUAUAUUGGUCAUUUUUUAAAGGCUGUAGACUUUGCCGAUAUAUAGUGAAAUGUUGAUUUAUUGAAAUUCAGAGCAAUAAUAUCCUUGCUGCGUAAACUGCACGGGUCUUUAAGCUCCAGACGUUUUCAAUUAGCCCCAUCUCAGGUCUCUCGACAAAAACAAAAAACAAUAUAUGUAGUCAUUUAACUUUAAAAUACAACCCUACCCAUGGUGCAAAAUAUCAUCGAGACUAUCAGGGUAACAUUUUCUCAUAUUUCAGAAGGCCAACUUAAAGAAUCAUUACUGGGAAAGCUGACUCAAUUUUCUAUAUUAUAGAAGAUAUUCGGUUCUAAAUACUACUUUUUUAAUACAAAAAUUAUUUAUUUAUUUGAAAAUUCUUAUCGUGCCAGGAACUAGGACAAAGAUUAAGAAUACCAAGAUGGCAAAGUGGGCCAGGCCCUCAGUCCAGUGGUACUGCUCCUCAUUCAUCCCUCUGUAAUGUUCGAAAUCCAGAUUUGAGGUGAUGCCAGAUAUUUUCUGAGAAUGAUGGUCGUCAGACAUCCUUGUUGUCUCAUCCAAAAUCUACUAAAAAUAUCCUGAGAUCUAAGAAAUUGAAAAAAUACUAAAUCGAAAAAGUGACCAACCGUUUGGUUUCACUUGAGCCUUAGGGUGAAAACAAUUGAUCAUAGGGUGAUACCAAUCAACAAUUAACACUUAAUCGUUGGUUGUUUUCUUUAGGAUUAGCACUACACUAGAUGGUGUAGGAUUUUCAAGUCUCUUAAGAGGAAAUAAAGGCUAAACUCUAUGGUAUAGGUUUACAAGUGCUAAGUAAGUUUCAAGGUAAGAAAACUUCAAAUACAGUCAAAAUCCACACCCACACUGCCUGUAACCUUACAGUGUAUUCCUAAUAAAUGCAGUGAUUACCACAUUUGCGUGUGCUUACUAAAUAGUAAAUAACAUUUGUAACUAAUAAAUGAAUUAAAGAUCAAAACGUAUACUUUAACAAAGUUUUGCAUAUCAACACAGAGCGUGCUCUUUUAAAUUUAAGUGAUUCUGCUUACCUGGAAUCUGAAAUAAGAUAGCCUUCUCAGUGAACUAUAAAUGCUUCUUUGUCAACCUUUAGUGUUUGAAAUCAUUUAUACUGCAAAUAAUCCUAAAAGUCAGAUUAUUUCCCUAUCUAAGCCAACUAAGGUAGUUUAGUUUUGCUCUUCAAGAGCCUCAGCUGACAAUUCUAAAGCUAUCUAGCAACCAGAGAAGCAAAGAAUUAGUACAAAUCUGUCAGUGCUACAUGGAAAAACAAUAACAAAACCUUAAAAGAAUAUGCUUUCAGACGGGCGCGGUGGCUCAUGCCUGUAAUCGCAGCACUUUGGGAUGCCAAGAUGGGCAGAUCACGAGGUCAGGAGAUCAAGACCAUCCUGGCCAACAUGACGAAACCCUGUCUCUACUAAAAGUACAAAAAUUAGCUGGGUGUGGUGGUGUGCGCCUGUAGUCCCAGCUACUCCGGAGGCUGAGGCAGGAGAAUCGCUUGAACACGGGAGGCGGAGAUUGCACUCCAGCCUGGGUGACAGAGCAAGACUCUGUCUAAAAAUAAAUAAAUAAUAAAAAAUAUGCUUUGUGUUGAUAGUGACAUCUUCCUAUAAAAAGUACCAUGUACUCUCAUCAUUCAGGGCGCAUUUGUAUGCCAUCUUGAGAUUCUUACAUUAUUUUGAACCCAUCAGUUGAUUUUAAG
RNAcentral lists this long non-coding RNA (2310 nucleotides) under Homo sapiens (human). RNAcentral's name for it is "non-protein coding lnc-RFC4-1:4". The record is from RNAcentral. Lineage: Eukaryota; Metazoa; Chordata; Mammalia; Primates; Hominidae.